AUGGCGAGCGCCAAGCUGGUGGUCGUGGCCGCGCUUGUGAUCCUGCUGCAAGCGUCGACGAGCGCGGUGGCCCGGCACCACCACCACGCCAAGCCGGACCCGUGCGACGACGCCGAGGACGACGGCCCCGAGCCGGGCAUGCAGCACAAGCACAAGAAGCCCCACUGCCCGUCGACCCCGGGCGGCCACGGCGGCACCCCGGGCAUUAUGACGGUGAACGGCUUCGAGAAGGGCCAGGAGGGCGGCGGGCCGGCGGCGUGCGACGGCAAGUACCACAGCAACAAGGACAUGAUCGCGGCGCUGUCGACGCGGUGGUACGCCGGCGGGCGGCGGUGCCACAAGACGAUCCGCAUCACCAGCAAGCGCGACGGGCGCACCGUGGAGGCCCGCGUGGUGGACGAGUGCGACUCCAACUACGGCUGCAAGGACGACGUCGUCGACACCUCCGCCGCCGUGUGGGAGGCGCUCGGGCUCGACACCGACGUCGGCGUCGUGCCUGUCACCUGGUCCGACGCCUGA
This 519-nucleotide ribosomal RNA is filed under the name Triticum aestivum (bread wheat). Its description in RNAcentral is "partial small subunit ribosomal RNA". Lineage: Eukaryota; Viridiplantae; Streptophyta; Magnoliopsida; Poales; Poaceae. The record is from RNAcentral.